UAAGGAAUAUUGGUCAAUGGACGCAAGUCUGAACCAGCCAUGCCGCGUGGAGGAUGAAGGUCCUCUGGAUUGUAAACUUCUUUUAUCUGGGACGAAACACUUCUUUUCUAAGAGGCCUGACGGUACCAGAUGAAUAAGCACCGGCUAACUCCGUGCCAGCAGCCGCGGUAAUACGGAGGGUGCAAGCGUUAUCCGGAUUCACUGGGUUUAAAGGGUGCGUAGGUGGGCAGAUAAGUCAGUGGUGAAAUCUUCCGGCUUAACCGGGAAACUGCCGUUGAUACUAUUUGUCUUGAAUAUUGCGGAGGUAAGCGGAAUAUGUCAUGUAGCGGUGAAAUGCUUAGAUAUGACAUAGAACACCAAUUGCGAAGGCAGCUUACUACACAAUCAUUGACACUGAGGCACGAAAGCGUGGGUAGCGAACA
RNAcentral lists this ribosomal RNA (422 nucleotides) under uncultured bacterium. RNAcentral's name for it is "bacterial SSU rRNA". It matches the Rfam family "Bacterial small subunit ribosomal RNA", at positions 355 to 774 of the family's 1533-position model. The record is from RNAcentral.